This 232-nucleotide unclassified non-coding RNA is filed under the name uncultured fungus. RNAcentral's name for it is "sequence contains ITS1". Lineage: Eukaryota; Fungi. The record is from RNAcentral.
GUAUUGUAUUGCGUUAAACGCGGUGCACAUUCCAUAAGACUUUGUUACAGUGUGUGUGUAAAAACGUAGGACCACAGCAAGGGGACGGUGUCCUCCAGGCCAUAGAACUACAGAGGGUGCACAGGUGUGAGUGGAUGUGUAAACAGAGCGUGCACGUGCCCCCCUUCGAGGGCCAGCAACAACUCGUGUCGACAAUUCGGUAAUGAUCCUUCCGCAGGUUCACCUACGGAAA